UCCCAGGUGGCUCAGAUGGUAAAGUGUCUGCCUACAAUGCGGGAGACCUGGGUUCAACCCCUGCGUUGGGAA
RNAcentral lists this transfer RNA (72 nucleotides) under Bos taurus (domestic cattle). It matches the Rfam family "tRNA". Rfam says of the family: Transfer RNA (tRNA) molecules are approximately 80 nucleotides in length. Their secondary structure includes four short double-helical elements and three loops (D, anti-codon, and T loops). Further hydrogen bonds mediate the characteristic L-shaped molecular structure. tRNAs have two regions of fundamental functional importance: the anti-codon, which is responsible for specific mRNA codon recognition, and the 3' end, to which the tRNAs corresponding amino acid is attached (by aminoacyl-tRNA synthetases). tRNAs cope with the degeneracy of the genetic code in two manners: having more than one tRNA (with a specific anti-codon) for a particular amino acid; and 'wobble' base-pairing, i.e. permitting non-standard base-pairing at the 3rd anti-codon position. The record is from Rfam by way of RNAcentral. RNAcentral also lists the same sequence under 1 other name. Lineage: Eukaryota; Metazoa; Chordata; Mammalia; Artiodactyla; Bovidae.